This 347-nucleotide ribosomal RNA is filed under the name Zeugodacus caudatus. Its description in RNAcentral is "partial 16S ribosomal RNA". Lineage: Eukaryota; Metazoa; Arthropoda; Insecta; Diptera; Tephritidae. The record is from RNAcentral.
GGCUGGUAUGAACGGUUGGACGAGGUAUAAGCUGUUUCAUAUAAAUUUAUAGUAGAAUUUUAUAUUUUAGUCAAAAAGCUAAAAUGUUAUUAAAAGACGAGAAGACCCUAUAAAUCUUUAUAUUUUUUAGUAUUUAAAUUUUUUGGAUUUGUUUUAUUUUUAUAUUAUAAAAUAUUUUGUUGGGGUGAUGUUAAAAUUUAAUGAACUUUUAAUUGUUUAAAAUCAUUAAUUUAUGAGUUAUUGAUCCAUUAGUAGUGAUUAUAAGAUUAAGUUACUUUAGGGAUAACAGAGUAAUUUUUUUGGAGACGUUCAUAUCGAUAAAAAAGUUUGAGACCUCGAUGUUGGAU